UACGGAGGGGGCUAGCGUUGUUCGGAAUUACUGGGUGUAAAGCGCACGUAGGCAGCUUUCUAAGUCAGGGGUGAAAUCCUGGAGCUCAACUCCAGAACUGCCUUUGAUACUGGGAAGCUUGAGUUCGGGAGAGGUGAGUGGAAUUGCGAGUGUAGAGGUGAAAUUCGUAGAUAUUCGCAAGAACACCAGUGGCGAAGGCGGCUCACUGGCCCGAUACUGACGCUGAGGUGCGAAAGCGUGGGGAGCAAACAGG
RNAcentral lists this unclassified non-coding RNA (253 nucleotides) under uncultured Xanthobacteraceae bacterium. RNAcentral's name for it is "contains 16S-23S intergenic spacer region". It matches the Rfam family "Bacterial small subunit ribosomal RNA", at positions 524 to 776 of the family's 1533-position model. Lineage: Bacteria; Pseudomonadati; Pseudomonadota; Alphaproteobacteria; Hyphomicrobiales; Xanthobacteraceae. The record is from RNAcentral.